RNAcentral lists this ribosomal RNA (543 nucleotides) under uncultured Hymenobacter sp. RNAcentral describes it as "bacterial SSU rRNA". It matches the Rfam family "Bacterial small subunit ribosomal RNA", at positions 91 to 632 of the family's 1533-position model. The record is from RNAcentral. Lineage: Bacteria; Pseudomonadati; Bacteroidota; Cytophagia; Cytophagales; Hymenobacteraceae.
CAUAGUGGCGCACGGGUGCGUAACGCGUAAUCAACCUACCCGAAUCUGGGGGAUAGCCCGCCGAAAGGCGGAUUAAUACCGCAUAAAACCACAGGAUGGCAUCAUCUAAUGGUUAAAGAUUUAUUGGAUUCGGAUGGGGUUGCGUGCCAUUAGCUAGUUGGGGAGGUAACGGCUCACCAAGGCGACGAUGGCUAGGGGAGCUGAGAGGCUGGUCCCCCACACGGGCACUGAGAUACGGGCCCGACUCCUACGGGAGGCAGCAGUAGGGAAUAUUGGGCAAUGGGCGAGAGCCUGACCCAGCCAUGCCGCGUGCAGGACGAAGGCUUUCUGAGUCGUAAACUGCUUUUACCAGGGAAGAAAAAAGGGGAUGCGUCCUCUACUGACGGUACCUGGUGAAUAAGCACCGGCUAACUCCGUGCCAGCAGCCGCGGUAAUACGGAGGGUGCAAGCGUUGUCCGGAUUUAUUGGGUUUAAAGGGUGCGUAGGCGGCCGAUUAAGUCCGGGGUGAAAGCCCACUGCUCAACAGUGGAACUGCCCUGGAAA